This 428-nucleotide ribosomal RNA is filed under the name uncultured cyanobacterium. RNAcentral's name for it is "bacterial SSU rRNA". It matches the Rfam family "Bacterial small subunit ribosomal RNA", at positions 356 to 799 of the family's 1533-position model. Lineage: Bacteria; Bacillati; Cyanobacteriota. The record is from RNAcentral.
GGGGAAUUUUCCGCAAUGGGCGAAAGCCUGACGGAGCAACGCCGCGUGAGGGAAGAAGGCCUCUGGGCUGUAAACCUCUUUUCUCAAGGAAGAAGAUCUGACGGUACUUGAGGAAUAAGCCACGGCUAAUUCCGUGCCAGCAGCCGCGGUAAUACGGGAGUGGCAAGCGUUAUCCGGAAUUAUUGGGCGUAAAGCGUCCGCAGGCGGCCUUUCAAGUCUGCUGUUAAAAAGUGGAGCUUAACUCCAUCAUGGCAGUGGAAACUGUUGGGCUUGAGUGUGGUAGGGGCAGAGGGAAUUCCCGGUGUAGCGGUGAAAUGCGUAGAUAUCGGGAAGAACACCAGUGGCGAAAGCGCUCUGCUGGGCCAUAACUGACGCUCAUGGACGAAAGCCAGGGGAGCGAAAGGGAUUAGAUACCCCUGUAGUCAAGG